CCCUUAGAUGUUCUGGGCCGCACGCGCGCUACACUGACUAAGUCAGCGAGCAUGUCCUACGCCGACAGGUGCGGGGAAUCUUGUCAAACUUCGUCGUGAUGGGGAUUGAUUAUUGAAAUUCUUGAUCAUCAACGAGGAAUUCCUAGUAAGCGCAAGUCAGCAGCUUGCGUUGAUUACGUCCCUGCCCUUUGUACACACCGCCCGUCGCUACUACCGAUUGAAUGGUUUAGUGAGAUCUUCGGAUUGGCGCCACUGCGGCUCAGCAAUGGGCUCGGUGGAUGCCGAAAAGUUGAUCAAACUUGAUCAUUUAGAGGAAGUAAAAGUCGUAACA
This 331-nucleotide ribosomal RNA is filed under the name uncultured eukaryote. RNAcentral describes it as "partial 18S ribosomal RNA". It matches the Rfam family "Eukaryotic small subunit ribosomal RNA", at positions 1470 to 1796 of the family's 1831-position model. The record is from RNAcentral.